Molecule: ribosomal RNA, 301 nt
Filed under: uncultured bacterium
Lineage: Bacteria
Description: partial 16S ribosomal RNA
Rfam family: Bacterial small subunit ribosomal RNA
Source: RNAcentral
CAGUAGCCGCGGUAAUACGGAGGGGGCUAGCGUUGUUCGGAAUUACUGGGCGUAAAGCGCACGUAGGCGGCUUGGUAAGUUAGAGGUGAAAGCCCGGAGCUCAACUCCGGAAUUGCCUUUAAGACUGCCGAGCUAGUAGGUGAGAGAGGUAAGUGGAAUUCCGAGUGUAGAGGUGAAAUUCGUAGAUAUUCGGAAGAACACCAGUGGCGAAGGCGGCUUACUGGCUCAUUCUAGACGCUGAGGUACGAAAGCAUGGGGAGCAAACAGGAUUAGAUACCCCUGUAGUCCCUGUCUCUUAUAC